RNAcentral lists this ribosomal RNA (200 nucleotides) under uncultured bacterium. RNAcentral describes it as "partial 16S ribosomal RNA". It matches the Rfam family "Bacterial small subunit ribosomal RNA", at positions 8 to 210 of the family's 1533-position model. The record is from RNAcentral.
AGAGUUUGAUCCUGGCUCAGGACGAACGCUGGCGGCGUGCUUAACACAUGCAAGUCGAACGGAAAGGCCCUUCGGGGUACUCGAGUGGCGAACGGGUGAGUAACACGUGGGUGAUCUGCCCUGCACUUUGGGAUAAGCCUGGGAAACUGGGUCUAAUACCGAAUAUGAUCACAGGCUUCAUGGUUUGUGGUGGAAAGCUU